RNAcentral lists this ribosomal RNA (455 nucleotides) under uncultured bacterium. Its description in RNAcentral is "bacterial SSU rRNA". It matches the Rfam family "Bacterial small subunit ribosomal RNA", at positions 340 to 786 of the family's 1533-position model. The record is from RNAcentral.
UACGGAGGCAGCAGUGGGGAAUAUUGCACAAUGGGCGAAAGCCUGAUGCAGCUAUGCCGCGUGUAUGAAGAAGGCCUUAGGGUUGUAAAGUACUUUCAUCGGGGAGGAAAAAACAAAACUAAUAAUUUUAUUUCUUGACGUUACCCGAAAAAGAAGCACCGGCUAACUCCGUGCCAGCAGCCGCGGUAAUACGGAGGGUGCUAGCGUUAAUCAGAAUUACUGGGCGUAAAGAGCACGUAGGUGGUUUUUUUAAGUCAGAUGUGAAAUCCCUGGGCUUAACCUAGGAACUGCAUUUUGAAACUGAAAUACUAGAGUAUCGUAGAGGGAGGUAGAAUUCUAGGUGUAGCGGUGAAAUGCGUAGAUAUCUGGAGGAAUACCUGUGGCGAAAGCGGCCUCCUAAACGAAUACUGACACUGAGGUGCGAAAGCGUGGGGAGCAAACAGGGAUUAGAUACC